AGCGAACGCUGGCGGCAGGCUUAACACAUGCAAGUCGAACGGUCCUUCGGGAUAGUGGCGGACGGGUGAGUAACACGUGGGAACGUACCCUUAGGUUCGGAACAACACAGGGAAACUUGUGCUAAUACCGGAUAAGCCCUUCGGGGGAAAGAUUUAUCGCCUUUGGAGCGGCCCGCGUCUGAUUAGCUUGUUGGUGAGGUAAUGGCUCACCAAGGCUACGAUCAGUAGCUGGUCUGAGAGGAUGGCCAGCCACACUGGGACUGAGACACGGCCCAGACUCCUACGGGAGGCAGCAGUGGGGAAUCUUGCGCAAUGGGCGAAAGCCUGACGCAGCCAUGCCGCGUGGAUGAUGAAGGUCUUAGGAUUGUAAAAUCCUUUCACCGGGGACGAUAAUGACGGUACCCGGAGAAGAAGCCCCGGCUAACUUCGUGCCAGCAGCCGCGGUAAUACGAAGGGGGCUAGCGUUGCUCGGAAUUACUGGGCGUAAAGGGCGCGUAGGCGGACAGUUAAGUUGGGGGUGAAAGCCCGGGGCUCAACCUCGGAAAUGCCUUCAAUACUGGCUGUCUUGAGUACGGGAGAGGUGAGUGGAACUCCGAGUGUAGAGGUGAAAUUCGUAGAUAUUCGGAAGAACACCAGUGGCGAAGGCGACUCACUGGCCCGUUACUGACGCUGAGGCGCGAAAGCGUGGGGAGCAAACAGG
Molecule: ribosomal RNA, 700 nt
Filed under: uncultured Caulobacteraceae bacterium
Lineage: Bacteria; Pseudomonadati; Pseudomonadota; Alphaproteobacteria; Caulobacterales; Caulobacteraceae
Description: bacterial SSU rRNA
Rfam family: Bacterial small subunit ribosomal RNA
Source: RNAcentral